Molecule: ribosomal RNA, 208 nt
Filed under: uncultured microorganism
Description: partial 16S ribosomal RNA
Rfam family: Bacterial small subunit ribosomal RNA
Source: RNAcentral
GUAGUUUGAUCGUGGCUCAGGAUGAACGCUGGCGGCGUGCCUAACACAUGCAAGUCGAACGGAGUUUAUGAGGAAGAAGCUUCGGCGGAAUUCUUAUAAACUUAGUGGCGGACGGGUGAGUAACACGUGGAGAACCUGCCUCUUACCGGGGGACAGCAGUUGGAGACGACUGAUAAUACCGCAUAAGCGCACGAGACCGCAUGGUCCU